CAUUGAAAGCGUUUUUAAAAAGAAAAGCAACACGGCUGCAGCAGCGAAAGAACGCGAGUCGGCGUGGGAGAAGAUUAGUGCUCGAGUCAAUGCGUAAGUUUAAAUUUAUUAUAUACAUUUAUGCAAUCACAAUAAUAUUAGGCUACAGAUGCAAACAAGUAGAAUGGUGUUACAGCUACAAUUUAUGUCACUUAGAUGUAAUCCCACCGGCGAAAAAAGAACGUGGAAGCAGCUGAAGAUGAAAUAUAAAAACAUUGUUCAAACAGCCAACAGAAAGCGGGCAUCUGCCCGCAAAACUGGCGGAGGACCACCCCCACCACGUCUGACCGAGGCAGAGGAGCUGGCCAUGGGUCAGACUGUCGGGAGGCCAGUCGCAGAGGGGAUCCCUGGAGGAACCUCAUCCUCGGACAUGAUUACACAGGAGCCACCAGCCUUGAUAAGAUGCAAUAGGCCUAGGCCUCAAACUUCUUUUGGGCCUAUAGUUCAAUGUUAAUUUCCCUUUCAUGUGUUUUUCUUUUGUCUCAACAGAUUCUGAAGACGUACUUGGUCUAGUGGAUCCAUGUGCCACUUUAACUGAUGAUGAAGAUGAUGGGACCACAAUGUCUGCUGCCUUCUCUGUGGUGUCUGAGAGGGAGCCUGAGAGGCCUACAGAGCAGAGCAUGGCUGGGCAGCAGGAAGAGGGUCCCUCAACCUCCACAGCACAGAUUGACACACUACCACUAAAAGAAAUCUACAAAGUGCAUUUAUUAAAAACAGUACAAAAAACAGAAAAAGAAAUGGUGCUGCUGGACCGCUAGAUAACUAAAACGGAUCUGGAAAUUGAAUUAUUAAAACACAAGUUAGAGGUGGGUGCA
Non-coding RNA from Doryrhamphus excisus (bluestripe pipefish), 854 nucleotides. Lineage: Eukaryota; Metazoa; Chordata; Actinopteri; Syngnathiformes; Syngnathidae. The record is from RefSeq and is a predicted model, not a curated record.